GAUGGAGGAGUUUGUAGAAGGAGAGAAGGAAGAGGCCAAGGUGGACAAAGAGCAGUCCGUGCAGCUUCCGCCGAAGGUUGGAAUGGCAGGAGAUAGCAAGAUGGGGGAAGCUCCAAGCUCCAG
This 123-nucleotide non-coding RNA is filed under the name Thalassiosira rotula. Lineage: Eukaryota; Bacillariophyta; Thalassiosirophyceae; Thalassiosirales; Thalassiosiraceae. The record is from RNAcentral.